Molecule: ribosomal RNA, 398 nt
Filed under: uncultured bacterium
Lineage: Bacteria
Description: bacterial SSU rRNA
Rfam family: Bacterial small subunit ribosomal RNA
Source: RNAcentral
GGAAUUUUGGGCAAUGGGCGAAAGCCUGACCCAGCAACGCCGCGUGAAGGAUGAAGUAUUUCGGUAUGUAAACUUCGAAAGAAUGGGAAGAAUAAAUGACGGUACCAUUUAUAAGCUCCGGCUAACUCCGUGCCAGCAGCCGCGGUAAUACGUAGGGAGCCAGCGUUGUUCGGAUUUACUGGGCGUAAAGGGCGCGUAGGCGGCGUGUCAAGUCAAUUGUGAAAUCUCCGGGCUUAACUCGGAACGGCCAAUUGAUACUGUCAUGCUAGAGUGCAGAAAGGGCAAUCGGAAUUCUUGGUGUAGCGGUGAAAUGCGUAGAUAUCAAGAGGAACACCUGAGGCGAAGGCGGGUUGCUAGGCUGACACUGACGCUGAGGCACGAAAGCGUGGGGAGCAAAC